This 503-nucleotide ribosomal RNA is filed under the name uncultured bacterium. Its description in RNAcentral is "bacterial SSU rRNA". It matches the Rfam family "Bacterial small subunit ribosomal RNA", at positions 16 to 507 of the family's 1533-position model. The record is from RNAcentral.
UCGAUGGCUCAGGAUGAACGCUAGCUACAGGCUUAACACAUGCAAGUCGAGGGGAAACGAUAUUGGAAGCUUGCUUCCGAUAGGCGUCGACCGGCGCACGGGUGAGUAACGCGUAUCCAACCUGCCCAUCACUUGGGGAUAACCUUGCGAAAGUAAGACUAAUACCCAAUGACGUCUCUAGAAGACAUCUGAAAGAGAUUAAAGAUUUAUCGGUGAUGGAUGGGGAUGCGUCUGAUUAGCUUGUUGGCGGGUAACGGCCCACCAAGGCGACGAUCAGUAGGGGUUCUGAGAGGAAGGUCCCCCACAUUGGAACUGAGACACGGUCCAAACUCCUACGGGAGGCAGCAGUGAGGAAUAUUGGUCAAUGGACGAGAGUCUGAACCAGCCAAGUAGCGUGCAGGAUGACGGCCCUAUGGGUUGUAAACUGCUUUUAUAAGGGAAUAAAGUGGGAGUCGUGACUCUUUUUGCAUGUACCUUAUGAAUAAGGACCGGCUAAUUCCGUG